This 225-nucleotide long non-coding RNA is filed under the name Elaeis guineensis (African oil palm). RNAcentral describes it as "long non-coding RNA (EGUI_LNC053239)". Lineage: Eukaryota; Viridiplantae; Streptophyta; Magnoliopsida; Arecales; Arecaceae. The record is from RNAcentral.
UCCUCCCUCCAUCUUGAGUUUCCUAAGAGCGUCUCAGAUCUAAAACUCCUCCUUCUACUUUUCAUCUUUGGAAGAGUUCAAAUCAAGAAGGAGGCACCUGAUCAACCAUCAAAGAAGGAUCAGCGCAGUACUAGCAUACUGUGCUGAUUUUCUAAAGCAGGACUUCUGAUCGAGAUUCAUGGGCUCGUGUGGAAGACUCCUAGAGGCUGGACGCAUGUGCAGCUU